AUAAGGUCAGGUUGUAAAAAUAAAAUAUAUUAAAAAAUAAAAUCCAUUCAGACAGCCAGAUAGAAAUAAUACUGGUUGCUUCUGCUGAAAAAAUGUUAUCUCAGCCAUGUCUAUGCAGAUAAAUAAGAGUGCUGCAAUGCUGCUUUGACAGCCAUCCAAAUUUAGAAGGAUACAUGGCUGAAAUUGCAGUUGCCCUGUUCAUUCCAUACCUCAUCUUUGCCUCUCCAUACUCUUCUGUCCUUCCAGUUGAUUGACUCACACAACAUGACAACAGCACUCAUCCACUUGGCAGAGUGGGGUCUUACUCCUCCAAAAAGGCCGAACCACUAAGAAGAGACUGCAGGGCUACUGAUCCUGAGAUCUGGUGCUAAAACAUCUAUCAGACCUUGAGCGGGUACCUCCCACUGAUCCAUCAACCAUGGUAGCUGUGAUGGGGUGGAUGUUCCAAACCACCCAUCCCAGGUGUGACAGCUGCUACAGUGGCAGAAGUGAGUGCCUCCCUUCUGAAUCCAUUUUAAAAAGACGUGCUAUGAAGAACUGCUGCAAAGAUCACUGAGAGGAAGCGGAUCUUGGAAUUUAUAGUGGCUUAGGCUUUGUAAUUAUCAUGCUUGCUUUAUAGUACGCUUGGAUUGUUUGUUGUUGAUUGAUUUUAAAAAUGCUUAAUGUUUUGGUCAGUGUUUUCCAGACUUUGAAUGCUGUGAUGUAUUUUGGGUUUGGGAGGAUGUGAGUAAAAGUAUUGAACACGUACAUACAUUUUCAUACAUAAGAAUGAAACAUGUACAUGUAUGGACAUGUGCAUACAUUUUCAAUACAUAAGAAUGUGUUGAAAAUUCAUUCUGGAUAAUAUUAGGGAUAUAUUUGGUAACUUUAUAAAGUGAUCACUAAAGGGCAAAACACAUCUGGCCUUUUUUGAUACAU
RNAcentral lists this long non-coding RNA (918 nucleotides) under Salvator merianae (Argentine black and white tegu). RNAcentral describes it as "lncRNA (ENSSMRG00000022763.1)". Lineage: Eukaryota; Metazoa; Chordata; Lepidosauria; Squamata; Teiidae. The record is from RNAcentral.